RNAcentral lists this ribosomal RNA (259 nucleotides) under uncultured bacterium. RNAcentral's name for it is "partial 16S ribosomal RNA". It matches the Rfam family "Bacterial small subunit ribosomal RNA", at positions 74 to 334 of the family's 1533-position model. The record is from RNAcentral.
CUUUGCUUUCUUUGCUGGCGACCGGCGCACGGGUGAGUAACACGUAUCCAACCUGCCCUUUACUCGGGGAUAGCCUUUCGAAAGAAAGAUUAAUACCCGAUAGCAUAAUGAUUCCGCAUGGUUUCAUUAUUAAAGGAUUCCGGUAAAGGAUGGGGAUGCGUUCCAUUAGGUUGUUGGUGGGGUAACGGCCCACCAAGCCUUCGAUGGAUAGGGGUUCUGAGAGGAAGGUCCCCCACAUUGGAACUGAGACACGGUCCAA